RNAcentral lists this ribosomal RNA (500 nucleotides) under uncultured bacterium. RNAcentral describes it as "bacterial SSU rRNA". It matches the Rfam family "Bacterial small subunit ribosomal RNA", at positions 28 to 528 of the family's 1533-position model. The record is from RNAcentral.
GAUGAACGCUAGCGGGAGGCUUAACACAUGCAAGUCGAGGGGUAAAUGGUAGCAAUACUAUGAGACCGGCGAACGGGUGCGUAACGCGUAUGCAACUUACCUUAUGCAGGGGGAUAGCCCGUGGAAACGCGGAUUAAUAUCCCAUAGAUCAGUAAUAUCGCAUGGUAUAACUGGUAAAACUCAGGUGGCAUAAGAUGGGCAUGCGUCUGAUUAGCUAGUUGGUAGGGUAACGGCCUACCAAGGCGACGAUCAGUAGGGGUUCUGAGAGGAUUAACCCCCACACUGGUACUGAGACACGGACCAGACUCCUACGGGAGGCAGCAGUGAGGAAUAUUGGUCAAUGGGCGCAAGCCUGAACCAGCCAUCCCGCGUGAAGGAAGAAGGCCCUACGGGUUGUAAACUUCUUUUCUGUUUGAAGAAUAAGCUUGUCGAGACAAGUGAUGCCGGUAGGACAGGAAUAAGCAUCGGCUAACUCCGUGCCAGCAGCCGCGGUAAUACGU